CAGUCGCCGCGGGAAUGCGGAGGGGGCUAGCGUUGUUCGGAAUUACUGGGCGUAAAGCGCACGUAGGCGGCUUGGUAAGUUAGAGGUGAAAGCCCGGAGCUCAACUCCGGAAUUGCCUUUAAGACUGCCGAGCUAGUAGGUGAGAGAGGUAAGUGGAAUUCCGAGUGUAGAGGUGAAAUUCGUAGAUAUUCGGAAGAACACCAGUGGCGAAGGCGGCUUACUGGCUCAUUCUAGACGCUGAGGUGCGAAAGCGUGGGGAGCAAACAGGAUUAGAUACCCCCGUAGUCCCUGUCUCUUAUAA
This 301-nucleotide ribosomal RNA is filed under the name uncultured bacterium. RNAcentral describes it as "partial 16S ribosomal RNA". It matches the Rfam family "Bacterial small subunit ribosomal RNA", at positions 509 to 809 of the family's 1533-position model. The record is from RNAcentral.